CUCGGGAGAGGAGGAAGUGAAUCCUCCAGCCGCCUGAAAGUGGCGGGAGUCUGAUGUAGGUGAAGAGUGAUCAUGCCCGGCACACGCUGCACAACUGAGAUCACAUCGUGUAUAGGGGGAACUGUGUGCAGGUAGCGGAGGUCCAGGGCCCAGGUCGUUGCAUGCCAUCGCUCCGAAACGCCUCCCCUCCCCCUCCAGGCCGACACGGGACAGGCAGGUCCUGUCGUUCCUUCUUGGGAGAGCUUGGCAGUUCCGUGGUGUUGUUCCCUCCAGAAGUAACACGUCUGGAAGUGAGGCCAUGAGAACCUGCUGAACAACUGCCGGCUUCACAACUGCACAUGUGGGGUGCGGCUGCACGCGGCUCUGCUGGGGCCGCCUUGCGCAGACAGUCAGCCGGUGGUGUGAACGUGCAGUGUUAAAAGUGACACCAGAGUGGUGGAGGCGUCACCGUCAGCUGUUGCAUGAGAUGACACCCGGCCUGCAGGGUUGGGUGAGAGCUCAGGAGCCGCAGCCCCUCCUUGCCUGGGUCCCAAGAUCCCGGCACCGGCGGGAAGGGGUCCAGGAAGAAGCGAGCACGUCCCAGGCAUGCAAAAUGGAGAAAAAACUGAGACCCAGAGGGCCUACCCAGCUUCCCCUGGAGGCAGAGCUGCAACUGGAACUAAGAUCGUCCAGCCGGGUGCAUUCUGCAGGAAGACCUGUCUGCAUUUCUCUCACAGGCUAGGGAUGUAGGUGUAAGAGCUGACCUGUGUCCAGCAUCAGCUGGGGGCGGGACCAUGAUUCAGUGUAAAGUAAAACUCAAGAACAUUCACUCCCUUGGGUGCAAAAUAAAACAUCGCCUCGAG
This is a long non-coding RNA of Equus caballus (horse), 842 nucleotides long. RefSeq lists it as uncharacterized. NCBI's taxonomy places the organism in Eukaryota, Metazoa, Chordata, Mammalia, Perissodactyla, Equidae. The record is from RefSeq and is a predicted model, not a curated record.